This 301-nucleotide ribosomal RNA is filed under the name uncultured bacterium. RNAcentral describes it as "partial 16S ribosomal RNA". It matches the Rfam family "Bacterial small subunit ribosomal RNA", at positions 509 to 807 of the family's 1533-position model. The record is from RNAcentral.
CAGUAGCCGCGGGAAUACGAAGGGUGCAAGCGUUAAUCGGAAUUACUGGGCGUAAAGCGUGCGUAGGCGGUGAGUUAAGUCUGCUGUGAAAUCCCCGGGCUCAACCUGGGAAUGGCAAUGGAAACUGGACGGCUAGAGUGUGUCAGAGGAUGGUGGAAUUCCCGGUGUAGCGGUGAAAUGCGUAGAGAUCGGGAGGAACAUCAGUAGCGAAGGCAGCCCCCUGGGCCAAUACUGACGCUCAUGCACGAAAGCGUGGGGAGCAAACAGGAUUAGAUACCCCAGUAGUCCCUGUCUCUUAUAC